UGAGGAAUAUUGGUCAAUGGGCGCGAGCCUGAACCAGCCAAGUAGCGUGAAGGAUGAAGGUCCUAUGGAUUGUAAACUUCUUUUAUAGCAGAAUAAAGUGACCCACGUGUGGGUUUUUGUAUGUAUGCUAUGAAUAAGGAUCGGCUAACUCCGUGCCAGCAGCCGCGGUAAUACGGAGGAUCCGAGCGUUAUCCGGAUUUAUUGGGUUUAAAGGGUGAGUAGGCGGAAAGAUAAGUCAGCCUGUGAAAGUUUGCGGCUCAACCGUAAAAUUGCAGUUGAUACUGUUUUUCUUGAGUGUACAUAAGGUAGGCGGAAUUCGUGGUGUAGCGGUGAAAUGCUUAGAUAUCACGAAGAACUCCGAUUGCGAAGGCAGCUUACCGGGGUACAACUGACGCUGAUGCACGAAAGUGUGGGUAUCAAACA
RNAcentral lists this ribosomal RNA (423 nucleotides) under uncultured bacterium. RNAcentral's name for it is "bacterial SSU rRNA". It matches the Rfam family "Bacterial small subunit ribosomal RNA", at positions 355 to 774 of the family's 1533-position model. The record is from RNAcentral.